Molecule: ribosomal RNA, 443 nt
Filed under: uncultured bacterium
Lineage: Bacteria
Description: partial 16S ribosomal RNA
Rfam family: Bacterial small subunit ribosomal RNA
Source: RNAcentral
CCUACGGGGGGCAGCAGUGGGGGAUAUUGGACAAUGGGGGGAACCCUGAUCCAGCGACGCCGCGUGAGUGAAGAAGUAUUUCGGUAUGUAAAGCUCUGUCAGCAGGGAAGAAAGAAAUGACGGUACCUGACCAAGAAGCCCCGGCUAACUACGUGCCAGCAGCCGCGGUAAUACGUAGGGGGCAAGCGUUAUCCGGAUUUACUGGGUGUAAAGGGAGCGUAGACGGCAGCACAAGUCUGGAGUGAAAUGCCGGGGCUUAACCCCGGAACUGCUUUGGAAACUGUGCAGCUAGAGUGCAGGAGAGGUAAGUGGAAUUCCUAGUGUAGCGGUGAAAUGCGUAGAUAUUAGGAGGAACACCAGUGGCGAAGGCGGCUUACUGGACUGUAACUGACGUUGAGGCUCGAAAGCGUGGGGAGCAAACAGGAUUAGAUACCCUAGUAGUC